UACGGAGGGCGCUAGCGUUGUUCGGAAUUACUGGGCGUAAAGCGCACGUAGGCGGCUUUCUAAGUCAGGGGUGAAAUCCCGGGGCUCAACCCCGGAACUGCCCUUGAAACUGGAUGGCUAGAAUCCUGGAGAGGCGAGUGGAAUUCCGAGUGUAGAGGUGAAAUUCGUAGAUAUUCGGAAGAACACCAGUGGCGAAGGCGACUCGCUGGACAGGUAUUGACGCUGAGGUGCGAAAGCGUGGGGAGCAAACAGG
RNAcentral lists this ribosomal RNA (253 nucleotides) under uncultured bacterium. RNAcentral describes it as "partial 16S ribosomal RNA". It matches the Rfam family "Bacterial small subunit ribosomal RNA", at positions 524 to 776 of the family's 1533-position model. The record is from RNAcentral.